RNAcentral lists this ribosomal RNA (472 nucleotides) under uncultured bacterium. RNAcentral describes it as "bacterial SSU rRNA". It matches the Rfam family "Bacterial small subunit ribosomal RNA", at positions 32 to 510 of the family's 1533-position model. The record is from RNAcentral.
AAUCAACGCUGGCGGCGUGCCUCAGACAUGCAAGUCGAACGAUUAAAGCUCUCUUCGGAGAGUGUAUAGAGUGGCGCACGGGUGAGUAACACGUAAGUAAUCUACCUUCGAGUGGGGAAUAACAGUCGGAAACGACUGCUAAUACCGCAUAAUGCAGCGGCAUCGCAAGAUGACAGUUGUUAAAGGAAUUUAUUUCGCUUGAAGAGGAGCUUGCGGCAGAUUAGCUAGUUGGUAAGGUAAUGGCUUACCAAGGCUACGAUCUGUAACCGGUCUAAGAGGACGGUCGGUCACACUGACACUGAAUAACGGGUCAGACUCCCACGGGAGGCAGCAGUCGGGAAUUUUGGGCAAUGGGCGAAAGCCUGACCCAGCAACGCCGCGUGAAGGAUGAAGUAUUUCGGUAUGUAAACUUCGAAAGAAUAGGAAGAAUAAAUGACGGUACUAUUUAUAAGGUCCGGCUAACUACGUGCCA